UGGGGGUUCUGCUGGUUCUCUUGCUGGUGGCUGCAGGUGCUCUAAGAUGUCACUUCCGGCACUCUUUCACGUCAGUCUGUCAGGUGGAGGUGGAAGAGGGGGCGGAGUCUGUCCUGUUACCAUUCACAACAACACCUAGGCUGCCCGGAGAUGCAGUAGUGCAGUGGUGGGAGGGAGAAGACACGGUGGUCCAUAUGUAUCAGAAAAACUCUGACCUGAAUGAGAUGCAGAACCAUCUUUACAGAAACAGAACACAGAUUAAUGAAGACCUGGUAAAAACUGGAGACAUCAGCCUGACUCUGAGACGUCCCACAGUGAGAGACAGUGGACGGUACAGAUGUGAAGUUUAUGGCCACAAGGAAAAGCUGAGAGAGAAAACGGUUCUGCUCAAAGUUAAAGAGAGAAGACCGGUCCAUGAAAGUGCUCUGUUGAUCCAAUCUGAAGUUUGAUCAGAGAGAACAUCUCAGUGAAGGAUCUGAUGGAUGAAGAGGACACGACUCCUUCCUCCAGACUCAGUAUUGAUCAGUCCAACCUCUGCAGCUGUUUUAUUCAUAAAGUAUCUGUUUAUACAGGAAGUGUUUAUAUUAAUUGUACUGAUGAGGAUGUUUGGAGGUCAUAUGAACUGAUGGAACUGAUGAUGGUAAUAUUCAGUUUUCUAUUCUUAGUAGGCUGAUUAAAUCAUUGGGUUGCUCAAAAUCAUCUGGUACUGUUACUGAGAGACUGAAAUGAAAUAAAAAGGAUCUAGAGCCUAAAAAACACCUGGUUUACCAUGAAACAUGGUACAAGUUCUCCACCAUGAUGAAUGUAUGCCUUCCAGCAUCAGCUGCCAUUUUCUACCCCAGGAUAGUCUGCAACUACAACUCCCAGCAGGAAUUGCAGCUGAUAGGAAGCGGGCGUCGCAGCUCUGACGUCACAGUGGACUAUAUAAUAAUAUGAGGUCUCCCUCAUCUUUGCUUUUCACGCUGGAAAUCGGACCGGUAUCUGGCAACUGAAGCACAUCAUUCUGGAGAAGAAAAUCCCACGUGAACUUUCAUUCAUUCUCCCCUGUUGGCCAACGAGAAGAAAAUUCAUGAAAGACGUUUCUGGAAUAGGAAGGCCAGAAACUUCACUUUACCAAUCGAAGACGUGAGCUUAACACGUAACAGAAGAAAAACCCCACGGAGGUUUCAAGGAGACGGAAUUGCCAUUCUUGUUCUUGUUCUACUCAUAUCUUCCCGUUUCGCCAACGGAGGCCAGAGGACGAAGACUGACCGCUCUCCUGACGAGUUAAUCGCGGACGCGCAACAACUCCCCCCUUCUCUCUCUUCCCCCUUCUUCACAGAAGACGACACCAAAUAAUCCCGUUUUGUUUUAUUUCUAUUAGAAAUAGCUUGGGCAGGAUAGAGGAGGAUUUUAGAGCGAUUUAGAAUCGCCACUUAUAGUCCAAUGUGUUCUAAGUUGAAUGUGCAUAAAAUGUCUUAUUGAAACUUUGAUUGCUGUUGGACUCUGAAAGCUGCUGUGCUUUCAAGCUGUGCGCGUCUCAUUGUUUUGU
Girardinichthys multiradiatus is the source of this 1531-nucleotide long non-coding RNA. RefSeq lists it as uncharacterized. The transcript is spliced from 3 exons. NCBI's taxonomy places the organism in Eukaryota, Metazoa, Chordata, Actinopteri, Cyprinodontiformes, Goodeidae. The record is from RefSeq and is a predicted model, not a curated record.